UCUCUCGCUCGCUUGUAGUCGUCCCGUCGCGUUCGUUCGGUCAAGAUGGAAUUAUUCCAUCUUGCGUACGGUGAUGUACAUCGUCCAGUGUUCGUGUUCGCGAGUUAAAGGACGUACUUUUUUUCGUGGUCGUAGUUGUUGCACGUAUCUGCUGUCUUGGAUCGUCCGUGUGAGUGGCUACUCGUAGAUGAUAUUAGUUCGUAUCGGUGAUGUGCAUUCAGAUUCACAUUGCAAAUGAUCGAACUGGUCUAGUCGUCUGGAAGGUGGAAAUAAACGCUGGGUGGUUUUCCUGUUACAUCUCUUAAAAAAACAACUUUUUUUUCCACCCUUGAACUGAUAUUUAGAUAGGAUUCAUCGUGCUUAUAUUUUGGGGGUUAAGAGCAAACUCUGUUUGAUGUGUCCUGGAUAAUUAUUUUGGACGGUUAUCCUCAAGUCUACACCAAUGGAAAUGAUUUAAUUGAAAAUGACCUUCAGAGUUUAAAGGUAUGACCUGAUUACUUUGAUGGUGCUAAGCUUCAAAUGUUAUUAUGGAUAUCUCUUGGGUCCCAAAAUCUGGAUACUAAAACGAGUGACAUCCUAGGAGUUCCAGAGAUUCCUGGGGACUGGUGGGAAACGUACGCAGCAGCAGCAGCUGUGAUGGUGUGCGGGCCCUCAGAUGCUAUUUCAUGGAUACCCCCUUGGAUCUCUCAAAACAUAUAUAUAGGCCUUUGAAGCAGUCUUAGAUGAGAACAACAAAUUUGGCUUUUAAAAGUGGUAAACUUUUAUCUUUAACAUGAACAUUCAGUCUGCAUGACUUGAAAAUAAUGGAAAUGAUGGUAAUUCGUUGUCUUCGAUGAUUUGUCUGACGAAGCUUGAUUAGAAAUGAACGAGGAAGGAGAUUAAGGUAAUUAAUCCUCAAUAUCUUUUUGAGGUCUUUUGAUAAUGCUAAGGAUCUAAAUUUUUAACAUCUGUGUAUUGCCUCUUGGGAUGCCUAAAAGGCCUGUUAUAAAUAGACGAGGGAACCUUAAAGAAACUUGUGGUUUGCUUUUUGGGAUGGGUGAAAUGAUGCCAUGUCUUUUGUCAGAUUUACAGUUAAUAAAAAAGGAAAUGCU
Long non-coding RNA from Macrobrachium nipponense, 1091 nucleotides. RefSeq lists it as uncharacterized. The transcript has 4 exons. NCBI's taxonomy places the organism in Eukaryota, Metazoa, Arthropoda, Malacostraca, Decapoda, Palaemonidae. The record is from RefSeq and is a predicted model, not a curated record.